Molecule: ribosomal RNA, 1434 nt
Filed under: uncultured organism
Description: SSU rRNA
Rfam family: Bacterial small subunit ribosomal RNA
Source: RNAcentral
CUAUCGACAGGCUUAACACAUGCAAGUCGAGGGGCAGCACAGGUAGCAAUACCGGGUGGCGACCGGCGCACGGGUGAGUAACGCGUAUGCAACUUACCUAUCAGAGGGGGAUAACCCGGCGAAAGUCGGACUAAUACCGCAUGAAGCAGGGGCCCCGCAUGGGGAUAUUUGCUAAAGAUUCAUCGCUGAUAGAUAGGCAUGCGUUCCAUUAGGCAGUUGGCGGGGUAACGGCCCACCAAACCGACGAUGGAUAGGGGUUCUGAGAGGAAGGUCCCCCACAUUGGUACUGAGACACGGACCAAACUCCUACGGGAGGCAGCAGUGAGGAAUAUUGGUCAAUGGCCGAGAGGCUGAACCAGCCAAGUCGCGUGAGGGAUGAAGGUUCUAUGGAUCGUAAACCUCUUUUAUAAGGGAAUAAAGUGCGGGACGUGUCCCGUUUUGUAUGUACCUUAUGAAUAAGGAUCGGCUAACUCCGUGCCAGCAGCCGCGGUAAUACGGAGGAUCCGAGCGUUAUCCGGAUUUAUUGGGUUUAAAGGGUGCGUAGGCGGCCUUUUAAGUCAGCGGUGAAAGUCUGUGGCUCAACCAUAGAAUUGCCGUUGAAACUGGGGGGCUUGAGUAUGUUUGAGGCAGGCGGAAUGCGUGGUGUAGCGGUGAAAUGCAUAGAUAUCACGCAGAACCCCGAUUGCGAAGGCAGCCUGCCAAGCCAUUACUGACGCUGAUGCACGAAAGCGUGGGGAUCAAACAGGAUUAGAUACCCUGGUAGUCCACGCAGUAAACGAUGAUCACUAGCUGUUUGCGAUACACUGUAAGCGGCACAGCGAAAGCGUUAAGUGAUCCACCUGGGGAGUACGCCGGCAACGGUGAAACUCAAAGGAAUUGACGGGGGCCCGCACAAGCGGAGGAACAUGUGGUUUAAUUCGAUGAUACGCGAGGAACCUUACCCGGGUUUGAACGCAUUCGGACCGAGGUGGAAACACCUUUUCUAGCAAUAGCCGUUUGCGAGGUGCUGCAUGGUUGUCGUCAGCUCGUGCCGUGAGGUGUCGGCUUAAGUGCCAUAACGAGCGCAACCCUUGCCACUAGUUACUAACAGGUAAAGCUGAGGACUCUGGUGGGACUGCCAGCGUAAGCUGCGAGGAAGGCGGGGAUGACGUCAAAUCAGCACGGCCCUUACAUCCGGGGCGACACACGUGUUACAAUGGCGUGGACAAAGGGAAGCCACCUGGCGACAGGGAGCGAAUCCCCAAACCACGUCUCAGUUCGGAUCGGAGUCUGCAACCCGACUCCGUGAAGCUGGAUUCGCUAGUAAUCGCGCAUCAGCCAUGGCGCGGUGAAUACGUUCCCGGGCCUUGUACACACCGCCCGUCAAGCCAUGGGAGCCGGGGGUACCUGAAGUCCGUAACCGCGAGGAUCGGCCUAGGGUAAAACUGGUGACUG